UACAGGGGGUGCAAACGUUGCUCGGAAUCAUUGGGCGUAAAGCGCACGUAGGCGGUUCGUUAAGUCGGAUGUGAAAGCCCUCGGCUCAACUGAGGAAGUGCACCCGAAACUGGCGAGCUUGAGUACGAAAGAGGAUCGCGGAAUUCCCGGUGUAGAGGUGAAAUUCGUAGAUAUCGGGAGGAACACCGGUGGCGAAGGCGGCGAUCUGGGUCGAUACUGACGCUGAGGCACGAAAGCGUGGGGAGCAAACAGG
Molecule: ribosomal RNA, 253 nt
Filed under: uncultured bacterium
Lineage: Bacteria
Description: partial 16S ribosomal RNA
Rfam family: Bacterial small subunit ribosomal RNA
Source: RNAcentral